GAGUUUGAUCGUGGCUCAGAACGAACGCUGGCGGCAUGCCUAACACAUGCAAGUCGAACGAGACCUUCGGGUCUAGUGGCGCACGGGUGCGUAACGCGUGGGAAUCUGCCCUCUGGUACGGAAUAACUCAGGGAAACUUGAGCUAAUACCGUAUAAUGACUUCGGUCCAAAGAUUUAUCGCCUGAGGAUGAGCCCGCGUAGGAUUAGCUUGUUGGUGAGGUAAAAGCUCACCAAGGCGACGAUCCUUAGCUGGUCUGAGAGGAUGAUCAGCCACACUGGGACUGAGACACGGCCCAGACUCCUACGGGAGGCAGCAGUGGGGAAUAUUGGACAAUGGGCGAAAGCCUGAUCCAGCAAUGCCGCGUGAGUGAUGAAGGCCUUAGGGUUGUAAAGCUCCUUUACCCGGGAUGAUAAUGACAGUACCGGAGAAUAAGCCCCGGCUAACUCCGUGCCAGCAGCCGCCGCGGUAA
RNAcentral lists this ribosomal RNA (470 nucleotides) under uncultured Alphaproteobacteria bacterium. Its description in RNAcentral is "bacterial SSU rRNA". It matches the Rfam family "Bacterial small subunit ribosomal RNA", at positions 9 to 523 of the family's 1533-position model. The record is from RNAcentral. Lineage: Bacteria; Pseudomonadati; Pseudomonadota; Alphaproteobacteria.